GUCCUUGUCGAUUAGUGGUUAGAUCAUCACGUUGUGGACACACAGGACCGUGAAGACGGAGGCUCGAAUCCUCCCUGGGACA
Trametes versicolor FP-101664 SS1 is the source of this 82-nucleotide transfer RNA. It matches the Rfam family "tRNA". Rfam says of the family: Transfer RNA (tRNA) molecules are approximately 80 nucleotides in length. Their secondary structure includes four short double-helical elements and three loops (D, anti-codon, and T loops). Further hydrogen bonds mediate the characteristic L-shaped molecular structure. tRNAs have two regions of fundamental functional importance: the anti-codon, which is responsible for specific mRNA codon recognition, and the 3' end, to which the tRNAs corresponding amino acid is attached (by aminoacyl-tRNA synthetases). tRNAs cope with the degeneracy of the genetic code in two manners: having more than one tRNA (with a specific anti-codon) for a particular amino acid; and 'wobble' base-pairing, i.e. permitting non-standard base-pairing at the 3rd anti-codon position. The record is from Rfam. Lineage: Eukaryota; Fungi; Basidiomycota; Agaricomycetes; Polyporales; Polyporaceae.